RNAcentral lists this unclassified non-coding RNA (307 nucleotides) under uncultured Bordetella sp. RNAcentral's name for it is "partial 16S-23S ribosomal RNA intergenic spacer". It matches the Rfam family "Bacterial small subunit ribosomal RNA", at positions 12 to 318 of the family's 1533-position model. The record is from RNAcentral. Lineage: Bacteria; Pseudomonadati; Pseudomonadota; Betaproteobacteria; Burkholderiales; Alcaligenaceae.
UUCGAUUCUGGCUCAGAUUGAACGCUGGCGGGAUGCUUUACACAUGCAAGUCGAACGGCAACACGGACUUCGGUCUGGUGGCGAGUGGCGAACGGGUAGGUAAUGUAUCCGGAACGUGCCCUGGCUUAGCCCGGGGGAUAACUACGCGAAAGCGUAGCUAAUACCACAUACGCCCUUCGGGGAAAGCGGGGACCUUCGGGCCUCGCACUAUUAGAGCGGCCGAUAUCGAGUUAGCUAGUUGGUGGGGUAACGGCUCACAAGGCGACGAUCCGUAGCUGGUUUGAGAGGACGACCAGCCACACUGGGA